GGACUACUGGGGUAUCUAAUCCUGUUUGCUCCCCACGCUUUCGCGUCUCAGCGUCAGUCACCGUCCAGAUGGCCGCCUUCGCCACCGGUGUUCUUCUCGAUAUCUACGAAUUUCACCUCUACACCGAGAGUUCCACCAUCCUCUCCGGGACUCUAGCCAAGCAGUAUCGAGUGCACUUCCAGGGUUGAGCCCUGGGCUUUCACAUCCGACUUGCCCGACCGCCUACACGCGCUUUACGCCCAGUAAUUCCGAACAACGUUUGCACCCUCUGUCUUACCGCGGCUGCUGGCAC
Molecule: ribosomal RNA, 292 nt
Filed under: uncultured bacterium
Lineage: Bacteria
Description: partial 16S ribosomal RNA
Source: RNAcentral